Molecule: transfer RNA, 73 nt
Filed under: bacterium
Lineage: Bacteria
Description: tRNA-Lys
Source: RNAcentral
GUUAAGAUGGAUGGCGUAAGCCAUCGGACUUUUAAUCCGCUGGUCGAGCGUUCGAAUCGCACACUACUCACCA